GCCGAAGUGGUGGAACUGGCAGACGCGCUGGACUCAAAAUCCAGUGGCCGCGAGGCCGUGCGGGUUCGACUCCCGCCUUCGGCACCA
This 87-nucleotide transfer RNA is filed under the name Caldicellulosiruptor owensensis. RNAcentral's name for it is "tRNA-Leu". It matches the Rfam family "tRNA". Rfam says of the family: Transfer RNA (tRNA) molecules are approximately 80 nucleotides in length. Their secondary structure includes four short double-helical elements and three loops (D, anti-codon, and T loops). Further hydrogen bonds mediate the characteristic L-shaped molecular structure. tRNAs have two regions of fundamental functional importance: the anti-codon, which is responsible for specific mRNA codon recognition, and the 3' end, to which the tRNAs corresponding amino acid is attached (by aminoacyl-tRNA synthetases). tRNAs cope with the degeneracy of the genetic code in two manners: having more than one tRNA (with a specific anti-codon) for a particular amino acid; and 'wobble' base-pairing, i.e. permitting non-standard base-pairing at the 3rd anti-codon position. Lineage: Bacteria; Bacillati; Bacillota; Caldicellulosiruptorales; Caldicellulosiruptoraceae. RNAcentral also lists the same sequence under 2 other names. The record is from RNAcentral.